CGCGCGCCUCGCUCCGCCCGCCCCGAGCGCCUCCGGGCCGCAGACACGCUUCCGGCCCCGCCUGCAGUUAUGCCAUCUGGCUCAUAUAACCAGAAGAAACUUGGCACCCACGUUCAACUAGAAUGACCGUCAAUUCACAAAACAUCCUUAUUUUCUCUUGGCUAAGAACAAAGUGACAACUGAUCUCAAUGUGACCUUUGCCAGAGUAGAGAAGAAAGUUCGCAGGAGAGAAAUGUCACAGAGGCGGUGGCAUUUGAGACGAUCCUCAAUUGACUGAACUGCCAGACCACGUGUUGAUGCACUCCUAGAGCCCUGAACCACCAUUUAAGUCCAGCUGUCCUGAGGCCACCAUGUUGUGAGGAAGCCAAAGCUAACCACCUGGAGAGAUGCUGUGGAGAAUCAUGCCCAAACAGCACCCAGCUCUCCUUGCCAUCCUGGCCCAGGCAGCUAACCUGGGAGUGAAGAAUCCUUCACAUGAUGCUGAUCUCAGAAGCUAUCUGACUACAACUGUGUGGGUGACCCCAAUGAGAACUUCUCAGGGCAGGCCAAGCAGUAUCAGAUACCCCCACCCGUUGUUUCUGGGCUUAAGACCUGGCCUGAGGACAGAAAUCUGACUACUCUGAGACCACUGUGCUGUGAGGGAUAGCAACCAGUCCCAGACAUCCCGGCCUGGGCAGGCCAGGCACCUGACUCGAGUGAGGAAGCUGCAGGGCCCUCCGGCCUCAGGAGUCACGACGUGCAGAGGCUCGGGGAGCCCAGCUGACAGCCAGAACUGCUGCUCCAGACCUAGGGCCCCAGAGGGGCCAAGGUCCUAGCAACCCCACCACCACCACCACCACCACCACCACCACCAAAUGCAAUCAAAAUCGUUCGUUUUUUGUUGUCGUUCUUCUUUUUUCAACUGCACUUUCUCUACAAACGCGUCUCUUAAGAUAAAUUUCCUGGUCCCUACAUCUUCCCAGUUUGCUACCCUAAUCCCUUCUGAUAGGAAAAUUCUAGAGGCAGUGCAAGAUGGACUCCAUGCUGUGAGGAUAAAAAUGGAUUUGUCUCCACCCUAGGGCAAGAGAGUCAUCAUGAGGAAGGGAUCCUGCCCUAAAAUCUAUGAGCUCUGUUUCUAGGGGACAAACUUGGUUACAAAGACUUCUUUAAACUUUUCCCUGCUGUCAAGUUUAAUGAGACGACUCCUCCUACAGUGUUUCUAAUAUCAGCUUGAUUUCAGGAGGCUGCUGUCAAAAAGGCUACCAGAAGACACUGAGGGGAACACUUUAAAUCAUUGCAAGAAAAAGUUUCAACUUCAGUAAGCCAACUUGGCCAACGAUUCCAUUUUUUUUUUUCAAGGAUUUCAUUUUAAGAGUAAAACUGACACAUCCAAAAUGGACACAUCUUAAAAGCAACAAGAUAUCACACAAGUGAAACAAUAGAAGAAGCAAGGCAUGGAAUUUGGAGGUGGGGGUAAAGAGCAUCAGUAGGAUUGGGGAAAAACAACUGAAAGCAUUUAAUGUAUUUAUUUCUACUCACCUAGUUCUAAAGUGGAUUUGGCAGGGAUUUUAUUUCCGGGGCAAGUGUGGAGGGCAGCUCUUUCCUGAAACUAGUUAAGUGCAGAUUAAAUGAGGUUAUAGCCUUGGGAUCUGGGAGUCAAGCUGGCAUCUGCUGUAGAAAACCGGGAGUCUGAAUAGCUGUGGGCUAAGAUUUUACAUUUCCUAUAGCACUUAGACAAAUGCAACUGGAAGCAAACAGACCAUUAAGUGGCAAAGAAGUCUCCAGAAAGGCAAAAACAAAGUCCUGGGCUCUUAAAACCAUAGGCCCUUCCUAGAAUUUGUCCUAGAAAGUGCCUUGCUGUUUGUGGAGUUGUAAUCAACAGUGGACAUUUGGGGCCAGCACUGACUUGUCCAAUAAACACUAAGUGUCCUAACAGUAUGGUGAACUAACAUCUUUUAAAAUUUUUUUCCAGAGCAUCAUUUCAAAUAAAUUAACAUUCUCAAGUGGCUCACCAGGCAGAAAGAAAUCUGCAUGCUGUGAGAAGAGAGAAGGUAGGAGAAUAGUUUAGAGGGUGUAGUUUAGAGGGUGUAGAGGCCCCACUCAUGGGGCCCCUGAGUGUCUCUGAAAGAGACAGAUGGGAAAGGCACUGGAUACUUUACUUAAAUAUGAAUACCAGCGCUAUCAAAUGCUCCACUUCACUAAAAAAUGCUGAUUAUAAUUUUCUAAAGUCAGGAAUGAAAAAGAUUGUUCCACAUCAAAUCAGAUACAGUAAUAAUUCUUAACAUUUUUGUUCACAUAUGCUAUUGAGAAUAUGGUGAUAAGGGUAGACUCUCUGCCCAAAAAAAAAAAAAUGCAUUACACACAAAAUCCUAUUCUAUUCUAUACGACUAGUUAGGAUACUUGAGGUGGAAUCCAGUCAGUCACAACACACUUAUAAUAUAUAAUCCUAAUCACCUGACUGCCAUAAAAUCUUUCUUGCAUUUAAGCUAGUUUUAUUCUAUAGUUUAAGCCUCUCCACUUUUUCUGUCUUCUUAGCUUAAGAAAAGAUCAUUACAGAACUCUCUGUAUAAGUUUUCAUAUAUGCUUGCAAAAGGAUGUGAAAUUUUAUCAUGAUCCCUCUUGCUUUAGGCUGAAACUUCUCUAAUCUGUCCUUAUAGAUUAUAGCAUAGAGUUCUGGUUACCAUUGAAUACCCAGUUAUCCCCUCUGCAUUAGUUACUCAGCUAUAUGAUUACAUUUUUCUGAGCCUUUCUUGCAGCUACAUGGGGCCAUUUGACUAAGCUUUAAGUCAAUGAUAUGUAAGUUCUAUGCUAUGUGCAUCUUCUUGAAAAUCUCCGUACCCUUCCUCUACCCUGAUGUCUGCAAUGAAGAUUUAAUAGUCAUUCUGGGCCAUGGAUUUGAGGUGUGAUGGACAACGCUACCUGUUGACUACCUUAUUGGAAGAGAAAUUUCAUGAGAACCUUGUUUGUUUUGAUCAAAACAACAUCUUCAGCACCUAAAAAGUGUGUGGCCUGUGGUAACGGCUUACCUAUUGAACAGGUAUUGAAUUAAAAUAUGAGUUUAAAACUCAUGUAAAACUCUAAUUACAAAGCCCUCCUGGGGUGCCUGCAUUGCUCAGUUGGUUAAGCAUCUGCUUUCAGCUCAGGUCAUGAUCUUGGGAUCCUGGGGUUGAGCUCCACAUGGAGCUCCUUGCUUCAUGCUUCUUCUCCCUCUGCCGUUCCCCCUGCUUGUGCUCUCUCACUCUUUCUCUCUCAAAUAAAUAAAUAAAAUAAAAUUUUAAAAAGUCAGGACACCUGGGUGGCUCAGCAGUUAAGUGUCUGU
Molecule: long non-coding RNA, 3298 nt
Organism: Canis lupus familiaris (dog)
Lineage: Eukaryota; Metazoa; Chordata; Mammalia; Carnivora; Canidae
Exons: 7
Source: RefSeq, a predicted model, not a curated record